UACAGAGGUCUCAAGCGUUGUUCGGAUUCAUUGGGCGUAAAGGGUGCGUAGGUGGCACUGUAAGUCGGGUGUGAAAUCCUGAGGCUUAACCUCGGAACUGCAUUCGAUACUGCGGUGCUUGAGGACUGGAGAGGAGACUGGAAUUCAUGGUGUAGCAGUGAAAUGCGUAGAGAUCAUGAGGAAGACCAGUGGCGAAGGCGGGUCUCUGGACAGUUCCUGACACUGAGGCACGAAGGCCAGGGGAGCAAACGGG
RNAcentral lists this ribosomal RNA (253 nucleotides) under uncultured bacterium. Its description in RNAcentral is "partial 16S ribosomal RNA". It matches the Rfam family "Bacterial small subunit ribosomal RNA", at positions 524 to 776 of the family's 1533-position model. The record is from RNAcentral.